GUGACCUCGGAUCAGGUAGGAAUACCCGCUGAACUUAAGCAUAUAUAAACCGGGAAGAAAAGUUUUUUUGGGCUGACUGGUGGC
This 84-nucleotide ribosomal RNA is filed under the name Colletotrichum gloeosporioides. RNAcentral's name for it is "partial 28S ribosomal RNA". The record is from RNAcentral. Lineage: Eukaryota; Fungi; Ascomycota; Sordariomycetes; Glomerellales; Glomerellaceae.